GAAAGAGAUAAAGAGAAAUGGAAGCUUUCUGAGUUACAUUUUCCUUUUUGCUUUUCUCUCUGUACAAACAGUCAAUUUUUUCUUCAAUUCAAGGCCAAACAACAAGAAGUUGAAUUCAAAUUUGAAGGGUUGAGAUUGAGAUGGUUUGAUCAAAUUUUGACAAGACUUGGUUAUGUAAAGAAGUUUGAGCUUAUAAGGAUUGGACAAUGAACAAGAUUGGGUGGUGGUAAAAAUUUUCAUUAUAGAUCCAUGCGUCACACAAUAUUGGACCCAAAUUUCUAUUCAAAGUUCUAAAUAUCUUUUUUUUCGAAUAUAG
Cucumis melo (muskmelon) is the source of this 316-nucleotide long non-coding RNA. RefSeq lists it as uncharacterized. The record is from RefSeq and is a predicted model, not a curated record. The transcript is spliced from 3 exons. Lineage: Eukaryota; Viridiplantae; Streptophyta; Magnoliopsida; Cucurbitales; Cucurbitaceae.